Molecule: ribosomal RNA, 438 nt
Filed under: uncultured bacterium
Lineage: Bacteria
Description: bacterial SSU rRNA
Rfam family: Bacterial small subunit ribosomal RNA
Source: RNAcentral
AGAGUUUGAUCCUGGCUCAGAUUGAAUGCUGGCGGCAUGCCUUACACAUGCAAGUCGAACGGCAGCGCGGGGGUAACCCUGGCGGCGAGUGGCGAACGGGUGAGUAAUACAUCGGAACGUGUCCUGGAGUGGGGGAUAGCUCGGCGAAAGCCGGAUUAAUACCGCAUACGCUCUAUGGAGGAAAGCGGGGGAUCUUCGGACCUCGCGCUCAAGGGGCGGCCGAUGGCGGAUUAGCUAGUUGGUGGGGUAAAGGCCUACCAAGGCGACGAUCCGUAGCUGGUCUGAGAGGACGACCAGCCACACUGGGACUGAGACACGGCCCAGACUCCUACGGGAGGCAGCAGUGGGGAAUUUUGGACAAUGGGGGAAACCCUGAUCCAGCAAUGCCGCGUGUGUGAAGAAGGCCUUCGGGUUGUAAAGCACUUUUGUUCGGGAAGA